UCGUAUGUGAACCUGCGAAAGGAUCAUUAU
RNAcentral lists this ribosomal RNA (30 nucleotides) under Caulerpa racemosa f. occidentalis. RNAcentral describes it as "partial 18S ribosomal RNA". The record is from RNAcentral. Lineage: Eukaryota; Viridiplantae; Chlorophyta; Ulvophyceae; Bryopsidales; Caulerpaceae.